This 497-nucleotide ribosomal RNA is filed under the name uncultured bacterium. Its description in RNAcentral is "partial 16S ribosomal RNA". It matches the Rfam family "Bacterial small subunit ribosomal RNA", at positions 28 to 507 of the family's 1533-position model. The record is from RNAcentral.
GAUGAACGCUGGCGGCGUGCCUAAUACAUGCAAGUCGAGCGAACAGACGAGGAGCUUGCUCCUCUGACGUUAGCGGCGGACGGGUGAGUAACACGUGGAUAACCUACCUAUAAGACUGGGAUAACUUCGGGAAACCGGAGCUAAUACCGAAUAAUAUAUUGAACCGCAUGGUUCAAUAGUGAAAGACGGUUUUGCUGUCACUUAUAGAUGGAUCCGCGCCGCAUUAGCUAGUUGGUAAGGUAACGGCUUACCAAGGCAACGAUGCGUAGCCGACCUGAGAGGGUGAUCGGCCACACUGGAACUGAGACACGGUCCAGACUCCUACGGGAGGCAGCAGUAGGGAAUCUUCCGCAAAGGGCGAAAGCCUGACGGAGCAACGCCGCGUGAGUGAUGAAGGUCUUCGGAUCGUAAAACUCUGUUAUUAGGGAAGAACAAAUGUGUAAGUAACUAUGCACGUCUUGACGGUACCUAAUCAGAAAGCCACGGCUAACUACGUG